GCCGGGGCAGGCGGCGUCACGAUGCCCGGCUCCGGCUCGGGCUCGGAAACGGGUUCCGAUCCCGGCCCGGGUUCCGAGACCGGUCCCGGCCC
RNAcentral lists this transfer RNA (92 nucleotides) under Streptomyces daqingensis. RNAcentral's name for it is "tRNA-Arg". Lineage: Bacteria; Bacillati; Actinomycetota; Actinomycetes; Kitasatosporales; Streptomycetaceae. The record is from RNAcentral.